This 525-nucleotide ribosomal RNA is filed under the name Ophiocordyceps neonutans. Its description in RNAcentral is "eukaryotic LSU rRNA". The stretch from base 169 to 323 matches the Rfam family "5.8S ribosomal RNA". Lineage: Eukaryota; Fungi; Ascomycota; Sordariomycetes; Hypocreales; Ophiocordycipitaceae. The record is from RNAcentral.
AACAAGGUCUCCGUUGGUGAACCAGCGGAGGGAUCAUUAGAGUUAAAAACGCUCUAACCCACUGUGAACACUACCGUGUAUGCCUCGGCAGGCCCUUUUAUUAGGGCCUGCCAAAGGAACUAUGCAAACUAUUAUUAAAGUCGUGAGCGUAUUAUGAAUAACUAUAAAAACUUUUAACAACGGAUCUCUUGGCUCUAGCAUCGAUGAAGAACGCAGCUAAAUGCGAUAAGUAAUGCGAAUUGCAGAUUUCAGUGAGUCAUCGAGUUUUUGAACGCAUAUUGCGCCUGCUGGCUAUUCCAGCAGGCAUGCCUGUUCGAGCGUUAUUACAACAUUAGACGUCUGUCUUUGUUAGAGAUUGGCUAGCGGCCACCUCUGAAAUACAGCAGCAGCUGUCUGCCCUAGCUCCCUUGUGUAGUAAAAAUAAGCCACGCAUUGCGGAAGAAAGGCAUCUUAACUGCUAUAAACUUUUUAAUAGUUUAACCUCGAAUCAGGUAGGGAUACCCGCUGAACUUAAGCAUAUCAAUA